GUCGAUAUUAAUUAUCGGCAUCAUAAGGUAUCAUUACACGUGUCCGAAACGUGACUGCAAAAACCCUCAAUUGCAAAAUUUAGGGAAAAUGAAAACCACCGAACACAAACACAGACAAAAACCCAAAAACAAAAACCUCUACUUACUCUCAAUUAUCAACCAAACAACUCUUUUCUCUUUCAAUCCGAAUUCUACAAAGAUACUUAUGGAACCAUUGUUUUCAAACUCAGAUCUUUGUUUUUCUCGGAGUAACUUCAAUAUGAGGGAUAUCAUUUUGUGAAUCGGAUUCUUCGAAUUGAGGUCAAUCAAUUUCAAUUUUAGAUUUUUUUCCUUCUCGAAUUCAAUUUCAAAUUUAGGUACAUCAAUUUAAAUUCAAAUCUUCGUCUAUUGUUGAAUCAAUUUAUAGAUCUUGACCUAAAAUUGUAAUCUAUGUCGUCCCUCUCAAUGCAGAUCGACAAUAAUAAGGACGGAGCUGCUGUGAGUGUUGACUUCGUUUGGCUUGUUCUCCUUCGUUAGAGAAGGUUUUAAGGUGAUUCUUUUUUUGAAUUUGGUUUGUCCCUUGCGUAUGGACAGCAAGGUCUGCACUACUUUAUCUUCUUUGAGCUGGGCAAUUUAAUGAUAACAUGGAUGGACGUUGUUGCUGCCUAUGCUUAACAUUGCUACAUGCUGCUGCCACGGUGCCACCGCCUAUGCUUGACGCUGCUGCUGCUGCUUCCUCUGCUUAACUUUAGUUAGUUGCUUCCUAUGCUUGCUACUGUUCAUGGGGUUUUCUAAGCUAAAACAAGGUUCUCAAUUAGUCAUGAAUGAGCACAAGUCAGAAUUGUAACAGUUGUAAUAGAAAACUCACUACUAUGAAAAAUUGUACAAUUUUUUUUUAAUAUUCAAUAAUAAAAUUAACUUUGGCAUAAUUUUAAAGCA
Chenopodium quinoa (quinoa) is the source of this 918-nucleotide long non-coding RNA. RefSeq lists it as uncharacterized. The record is from RefSeq and is a predicted model, not a curated record. The transcript has 4 exons. NCBI's taxonomy places the organism in Eukaryota, Viridiplantae, Streptophyta, Magnoliopsida, Caryophyllales, Amaranthaceae.